Molecule: microRNA precursor, 103 nt
Filed under: Marmota monax (woodchuck)
Lineage: Eukaryota; Metazoa; Chordata; Mammalia; Rodentia; Sciuridae
Source: RNAcentral
AGUAACAUAGCUGGGUCAAAUGGGGGUGCCAGUCCAAGAUUUCUAAGGAAUCUCCAUACAGCUUUUCAGAGUGGUUGCACCAAUUUGCAGUCCCAUCAGCAAU